This 462-nucleotide ribosomal RNA is filed under the name Rhineura floridana. RNAcentral's name for it is "partial 12S ribosomal RNA". It matches the Rfam family "Bacterial small subunit ribosomal RNA", at positions 831 to 1460 of the family's 1533-position model. The record is from RNAcentral. Lineage: Eukaryota; Metazoa; Chordata; Lepidosauria; Squamata; Rhineuridae.
GCUUGGCCCUAAACAUCGGAAGUCUACAACACACCCCGCCUGAGAAUUACAAGCAAAAGCUUUAAACUCAAAGGACUUGGCGGUGCCCCACACCACCCUAGAGGAGCCUGUCCUAUAAUCGAUACCCCACGUUAAACCUCACCACGUUUUGCAACCCCCCCAGCCUAUAUACCGCCGUCGUAUGUUUACCCCAUGAGGGAGUAUAAGUAAACACAACAGUAACAUACUAAAACAUCAGGUCAAGGUGUAGCUAACAAAGUGGAAGAGAUGGGCUACAUUUUCUACAACAGAACAUACGACAAAUACAAUGAAAUACUGCAUUACAAGGUGGAUUUAGCAGUAAACUAAGGCAAGAAUGCCAACUUUAACCCUGCUCUGGAGCGCGCACACACCGCCCGUCACCCUCAUCAAAACAAAUAUAAACCAUCCAUAAAACAAUAUUACCAACACAAAGAAUGGGUA